UUUUAUUUAUUAAACUAAAGAUGAACUCAUUGUCAAUACAAUAUACAACAAGAAAUGUUAAAGGAAGUUCUUCAAGCAAAAGAAAUGUAAUACUAGAUGUAAAUAUGAACAGACAAAAAAAUGUGGAGCACCAGAAAUGAUAAAAUGAAGGCAAUCAUAAAAGACUUUUUUUUCUUAUUUUCAAUCACUUUAAAGAUAAUUGACCAUCUAAAGUAAAAAUGGCAACACAAUUGUGGGUUUGUAAGAGAUGAAGACGUAAAAUGUGUGACAAUUACAGCAUGAAAAUGAGAAGGAGCAAAUAUAACUGUAGUGUUAUAAGCUGCUAAAUUAUACACUAAGUGAAAUAGUAAUAUUUGGCAGUUGACUGUGAUGUUACAAAUUUACAGUGCAAAUCCUAGAACAUUCACUAAAAUACUCCACUCUCAGUAAUGGGCAGAAAAAGUAGAUAGAAAUUCAUAAAAAUAUAGCAGACCUGAAGAACACUAUCAUAGUAGUUGAUAUUUAUAGAACACUCUCCCAAUCAGAGCACAAUGCACAUUCUUUUCAAAUACAGUGGGAAAAAAAAUUAAAAAAAAAUACAAUGAAAUGUUCACCAAGACAGACCACAUUCUGGGCCAUGAAACAAAUCUCAACAAAUUGAAAACAACUGUUAUUAUAAAAGAUAGAUUUUCAGAUUAUAGAAUGAAACUGCAAAUAAAGAACAGAAAGAUACGUGGGUAAAAAACAAAUAUUUAGAAAUAAAAUAAUAAUCUAUAGACAUAGGACACAGAAAUUUUAUGAAGCAGAUAAACAGAAGAAAUUAGAAAAAUUUUAAUAUAAUUAAAAUAGAAAUCUAACAUUAAAAUUUGUAGGCUGCUAUAAAAGCAUUAAAUUUAUAGUAUUAAAUGUUUAUAUUAGAAAAAGAAUAUCCCAAAAAAGAAAAAUAACUCGACUAAUCAAAGUUUCUACCUUGAAAAAGAAGAGCAAAAUAAAUUCAAAUUAAAUACAAGAAAUAACAAGAUAAAAGCAGAAAUCAAUUGAAUACCAAAAUCAAAAUGCACAGAAAAAAAUCAAUGAAUAAUACUGUCAUAAAAAUAAUUUAUUUUCAAUGCCAUAGUACUUAAAUCAAGCUCAAACUUUAUAAUUAAGAUAAAUAUAAUGCUUAGCAAUUAUUUGUAAUUUUCACAUGUAAUAGAAUAUACUAUUUCUGCAAUUUCUAUGCUGUAGUAUUGUCUAUUGGUAUUUUUCCAAACAAUUACUUUAAAGAAAGACAGUUCAUCUAGGUAAUUUAUCUUUUAUCGGCUUCUUUACACUUUUUCUAAAAUUAUGGGAGGAAGUAGGGCUGAGAAAGGCAGUCUCAUGCAUACAGCCUUUCAGCCCCCACUCAGCCACAUAAGACUGGGACUUGGAACACUUCCUUACCAAGAAAUAAAGAGCUCUCAUAAUUUCUGCUGGGUUUAUCACCUUGUUGAAGAAUAUCUUCCCUUUUUACAAGCACAAUAUAUGUUCUUUUGUUCUGCAUUAAGUAUAUGGCACCUGGGCAAUCCUACUGCUACAUCUGCCCUCCAUGGGGGAGUGUACAGGGUCCAUCUACAGAGUCAAGAGGAGGGUGAGCAUAGACCAGUUGCCCCGCAUCUGCUGCAGGAAGAGAGACCAACUGGCCACAGAAGACUGGUGGCCCCUACUGAAGCAACUUCUCCGAAGUAGUUAUGUAAGUUAUUUCUUUUCUUUAAAAAUAACUGUCACAUUCAGUAAAAGUAUUAAAUCUAAAUGAAUUAAACCUAAAUCCUUAAGUACGGAAAUCUAACAUUAAUAAUCUAUUAUGUGCCAUACAGUUAGCAAUGCCCAUCCACAAACCUCAUUUCAGAAUAUAUCCUAAAAUUAAAGGUCAUCUACAACUGGCUGCUGACCUUCCUUUCUAGAUUUAUCUUCAGUUACUUUCACUCCUGAAGUAUGACUUAAAACUAGCCUGGAGUUUCUGCUCACCAAAUUUAACUAUAUCUUUCUAACUCUAAUCAGAAUUCUGCCUUUCAAAUUCUUACUCAUAAUUAAAUGUCCAGAUUCUUGUAUCUAAACUUUCCUGUUUAUUAAAAUUUAAAAUUAAUUUCUAUCUCCUAAAUCACAUUGUUUAUAUCUAAUAACUCCUAUCACAUUCUUCUUUAUAUAAUAGUCAUUUUUUCAAGAUGGUUUAUAUUUUCCUUGUGGAAAUAUUCUCCCCACCUAUACUCAGUAACAUAAUAUUUGAAUGGGCUUCCCCACCUAAAUACUACUUUUCUCAUUCUCCCUUGAAUGUAGGUAUGGCCACAUGAAACAAAAUCUCAUCAAGGAAAUGCAAGCUGAGUGAUAUAAGCAAUUUCUAUAUGUAACCUUAAAGAGAGUGAUAUGUUUUCAUUCCAUCCCUUCUUCUAACAUUCAUCACCCAGAUGUGACAGGGUUUGUGAAACAAUUUGGUCCUAGGAAUGGUGAAGCAACAACUAAACAACUUUAGACAACUAAAAGACACGAAGGUCCUUGACAUCAUGGAUGGACCAUAUCAACUCUGAACUACUUAUACUAGAUUGUAGCUUAAAAAAUAAAAUCAACUUUAUUUAUUUAAGCCACUGCUAUUUUGGUUUUUGUUAUAGCAUCUAAAUCUCCACCAAAAAUUAAUAUGUACUACAAGUUUCUUGGGGCAGGAAUUACAUCUUGACCUUUGUAUCUUUUAUAUUCAUCACCUUGCUUAGCAAAGUGUC
Molecule: long non-coding RNA, 2711 nt
Filed under: Canis lupus familiaris (dog)
Lineage: Eukaryota; Metazoa; Chordata; Mammalia; Carnivora; Canidae
Description: lncRNA (ENSCAFG00000056278.1, ENSCAFG00805031088.1, ENSCAFG00845005857.1)
Source: RNAcentral